UGGGGAAUAUUGCACAAUGGGCGCAAGCCUGAUGCAGCAACGCCGCGUGAGGGACGACGGCCUUCGGGUUGUAAACCUCUUUUGGCAGGGAAGAAGCGAAAGUGACGGUACCUGCAGAAAAAGCACCGGCUAACUACGUGCCAGCAGCCGCGGUGAUACGUAGGGUGCAAGCGUUGUCCGGAAUUAUUGGGCGUAAAGAGCUCGUAGGCGGUUUGUCGCGUCUGCUGCGAAAACCCGAGGCUCAACCUCGGGCCUGCAGUGGGUACGGGCAGACUAGAGUGCGGUAGGGGAGAUUGGAAUUCCUGGUGUAGCGGUGGAAUGCGCAGAUAUCAGGAGGAACACCGAUGGCGAAGGCAGAUCUCUGGGCCGUAACUGACGCUGAGGAGCGAAAGCAUGGGGA
Molecule: ribosomal RNA, 400 nt
Filed under: uncultured bacterium
Lineage: Bacteria
Description: bacterial SSU rRNA
Rfam family: Bacterial small subunit ribosomal RNA
Source: RNAcentral